This 465-nucleotide ribosomal RNA is filed under the name Vreelandella stevensii. Its description in RNAcentral is "partial 16S ribosomal RNA". It matches the Rfam family "Bacterial small subunit ribosomal RNA", at positions 338 to 795 of the family's 1533-position model. The record is from RNAcentral. Lineage: Bacteria; Pseudomonadati; Pseudomonadota; Gammaproteobacteria; Oceanospirillales; Halomonadaceae.
CCUACGGGCGGCAGCAGUGGGGAAUAUUGGACAAUGGGCGAAAGCCUGAUCCAGCCAUGCCGCGUGUGUGAAGAAGGCCUUCGGGUUGUAAAGCACUUUCAGUGGGGAAGAAAGCCUUGGGGCUAAUACCCUCGAGGAAGGACAUCACCCACAGAAGAAGCACCGGCUAACUCCGUGCCAGCAGCCGCGGUAAUACGGAGGGUGCGAGCGUUAAUCGGAAUUACUGGGCGUAAAGCGCGCGUAGGCGGUCUGAUAAGCCGGUUGUGAAAGCCCCGGGCUCAACCUGGGAACGGCAUCCGGAACUGUCAGGCUAGAGUGCAGGAGAGGACGGUAGAAUUCCCGGUGUAGCGGUGAAAUGCGUAGAGAUCGGGAGGAAUACCAGUGGCGAAGGCGGCCUUCUGGACUGACACUGACGCUGAGGUGCGAAAGCGUGGGUAGCAAACAGGAUUAGAUACCCCAGUAGUC